Molecule: ribosomal RNA, 492 nt
Filed under: uncultured bacterium
Lineage: Bacteria
Description: partial 16S ribosomal RNA
Rfam family: Bacterial small subunit ribosomal RNA
Source: RNAcentral
AGUGAACGCUGGCGGUAGGCCUAACACAUGCAAGUCGAACGGCAGCACAGUAAGAGCUUGCUCUUACGGGUGGCGAGUGGCGGACGGGUGAGGAAUACAUCGGAAUCUACUUUUUCGUGGGGGAUAACGUAGGGAAACUUACGCUAAUACCGCAUACGACCUACGGGUGAAAGCAGGGGAUCUUCGGACCUUGCGCGAUUGAAUGAGCCGCUGUUGGAUUAGCUAGUUGGCGGGGUAAAGGCCCACCAAGUCGACGAUCCGUAGCUGGUCUGAGAGGCUGGUCAGCCACACUGGAACUGAGACACGGUCCAUACUCCUACGGGAGGCAGCAGUGGGGAAUAUUGGACAAUGGGCGCAAGCCUGAUCCAGCCAUACCGCGUGGGUGAAGAAGGCCUUCGGGUUGUAAAGCCCUUUUGUUGGGAAAGAAAAGCAGCAGGUUAAUACCCCGCUGUUCUGACGGUACCCAAAGAAUAAGCACCGGCUAACUUCGUG